GAUUAAAAUUUUCAUCUAUUUCUAUUGUUAAAAACCGAUGUGAUUGAUAAAACAACCAAAUAGUUACAUGUGGUGUUCCAUGUACCUUAUUCUAAUGUAUAUAGACUAAUUUUUAACCGUAGAAAUAAAUUAAAUUUAAAA
Non-coding RNA from Gossypium hirsutum (cotton), 141 nucleotides. Lineage: Eukaryota; Viridiplantae; Streptophyta; Magnoliopsida; Malvales; Malvaceae. The record is from Rfam.